AUAUAGGUGGACUGGGCGGCCCCCUCCCAGCGCGCGCGCCUCCGCCCACUCCCCGGGUUCCCACUCCCUCGCGGCUCAUGUGACACCAGCUUAAGCUGAACGGGACCGAGCCGGGGGACGCCUCCCCGAGCUCAGGGACCGAGUGGCAGCGCGCUCCGCAACCCCAGGAGCCGCCGGGGAUUGGACACGCUCCCCGCCCGCGGGAAGGCCCCGAACUCCUGCGCGCCGGCUUCAUUGCUCUCCCAAAAGCGCUCCGGUACCAGGCGGCCAGGGGCAGGAGAAGGGACGCGAGGAAAUCCGAAAAAUAUUUCAUUUUCUCUUUCCCAGGGUUCGAAGAGGCCGGUACCCAAGGAAAGGGGCGGGGAAUGCGGGAAUGGAAAGGAAUUUCCUGGGAAUUUCCUGAGUCCACCGCCCUCACCGCCUCAGCCCCGCCAGCAUCUACUGGCCAACCCCUGUCCUCCAGGAGCCAGGUUUCUUACCAGCCAUCAGCGCUCUGAGGCCACAGAGCUUUCCCGCCUCGCCGCAGUGUCUUUUUUGGCCAGACCUCGGGCUCUGGGGACUGCUCCGUUGUGGGGCUUCCCACGUGGUGGCUACGACGCCCAGCUUCCCGGGAUCACCUGCGGGUCCCCGCGGGCUGGCGGGGUUGGACCUACCCUCAGACACACCCGGGCAGCAUCCUGAAAACUGGGAGAGGGGGCCCUGAGUGAUCUACCUACUCCACGCCUCCCCGCUCCGCUCAUUACACACACCUGACAGUAGGGAGGAGACACUGAGACAUGGACCCAAGGUGAUGAAUUGACUAAUCUUUCGAUCCAGGACUCACUGAUGGCCAUCCCCCUGGCAACACUGUCCUAUUUAAUACCAUCUUCUGUAAAGAAAACAGAGUUACUAAAUUGUUGAUUUUUUAGGGAUGCCAACAUGUAUGCAUAUUUAUAACAUCCAUCAGUCUUUUAAAUUGGAGUAACACAGUAAAAUGCAUGAAUCAAGUGCACUAAUCUUAAGCAUAAAGCUCGGGGAAAUUUUACACAUGCCUACACCCAUAGAAAACAUUUCUAGCACCUCAGGUUUUCUCAUGCCCCUUCCUAAUCUGUACUCCCACGCCACAUAGGAAACCCGUAUUCUGACUUCUUAUCACCAAUGAUUAUUUUUAGUUAUUUUUGAACUUUAUACAAAUGGAAUUAUACAAUAUAUACACUUCGAUUUCUGGAUUUUUUGCUCAAUUUAAUAUCUAUGAGAUUUGGUAUUAGUAGCUAAUUUUUUUGUUUGUUUUUCCCUCUGUAGUAGUCCAUCGAUACAUAUAUCGUAAGUAAUUUAUCCACUCUCCUAUGGGUAGGGAUUUGCAUUGUUUCCAGUUUGAAGCUACUACAAAUAAAGCUGCCAUAAACAUUUUUA
Long non-coding RNA from Pteropus alecto (black flying fox), 1392 nucleotides. RefSeq lists it as uncharacterized. The transcript is spliced from 2 exons. The record is from RefSeq and is a predicted model, not a curated record. NCBI's taxonomy places the organism in Eukaryota, Metazoa, Chordata, Mammalia, Chiroptera, Pteropodidae.